AAAACGGAGAGUUUGAUCCUGGCUCAGGAUGAACGCUGGCGGUAUGCUUAACACAUGCAAGUCGAACGGUGCUUUAGGGCACAGUGGCGGACGGGUGAGUAACGCGUGAGAAUCUGGCUUCAGGUC
This 126-nucleotide ribosomal RNA is filed under the name Nostoc indistinguendum CM1-VF10. RNAcentral's name for it is "partial 16S ribosomal RNA". It matches the Rfam family "Bacterial small subunit ribosomal RNA", at positions 1 to 138 of the family's 1533-position model. Lineage: Bacteria; Bacillati; Cyanobacteriota; Cyanophyceae; Nostocales; Nostocaceae. The record is from RNAcentral.